GACGAACGCUGGCGGCGUGCUUAACACAUGCAAGUCGAACGGUGAAGCGCCUUCCUUUUUGGUGGGUGUGGAUGAGUGGCGAACGGGUGAGUAACACGUGAGUAACCUGCCCCCUUCUUCUGGAUAACCGCAUGAAAGUGUGGCUAAUACGGGAUAUUCUGGGUCUGUCGCAUGAUGGGUCUGGGAAAGAUAUUGUUUCGGUGGGGGAUGGGCUCGCGGCCUAUCAGCUUGUUGGUGGGGUGAUGGCCUACCAAGGCGGUGACGGGUAGCCGGCCUGAGAGGGUGGACGGUCACACUGGGACUGAGACACGGCCCAGCCUCCUACGGGAGGCAGCAGUGGGGAAUAGUGCACAAUGGGCGCAAGCCUGAUGCAGCGACGCCGCGUGAGGGAUGGAGGCCUUCGGGUUGUGAACCUCUUUCGCCAGUGAAGCAGGCCUGCCUCGUUUGUGGGUGGGUUGACGGUAGCUGGAUAAGAAGCGCCGGCUAACUACGUG
This 494-nucleotide ribosomal RNA is filed under the name uncultured bacterium. RNAcentral describes it as "partial 16S ribosomal RNA". It matches the Rfam family "Bacterial small subunit ribosomal RNA", at positions 28 to 507 of the family's 1533-position model. The record is from RNAcentral.